GAUGAACGCUGGCGGCGUGCCUAAUACAUGCAAGUCGAGCGAACGGACGAGAAGCUUGCUUCUCUGAUGUUAGCGGCGGACGGGUGGGUAACACGUGGAUAACCUACCUAUAAGACUGGGAUAACUUCGGGAAACCGGAGCUAAUACCGGAUAAUAUUUUGAACCGCAUGGUUCAAAAGUGAAAGACGGUCUUGCCGUCACUUAUAGAUGGAUCCGCGCUGCAUUAGCUAGUUGGUAAGGUAACGGCUUACCAAGGCAACGAUGCAUAGCCGACCUGAGAGGGUGAUCGGCCACACUGGAACUGAGACACGGUCCAGACUCCUACGGGAGGCAGCAGUAGGGAAUCUUCCGCAAUGGGCGAAAGCCUGACGGAGCAACGCCGCGUGAGUGAUGAAGGUCUUCGGAUCGUAAAACUCUGUUAUUAGGGAAGAACAUAUGUGUAAGUAACUGUGCACAUCUUGACGGUACCUAAUCAGAAAGCCACGGCUAACUACGUG
This 497-nucleotide ribosomal RNA is filed under the name uncultured bacterium. RNAcentral describes it as "partial 16S ribosomal RNA". It matches the Rfam family "Bacterial small subunit ribosomal RNA", at positions 28 to 507 of the family's 1533-position model. The record is from RNAcentral.